GUCCUUGUGGCACAAUGGGCCGGCGUGUCUGGCUGUUAACCAGAAGGUUGGUGGUUCAAGCCCACCAAGGGGCA
This is a non-coding RNA of Podarcis lilfordi (Lilford's wall lizard), 74 nucleotides long. Lineage: Eukaryota; Metazoa; Chordata; Lepidosauria; Squamata; Lacertidae. The record is from the annotation of a GenBank genome assembly.